Molecule: ribosomal RNA, 253 nt
Filed under: uncultured bacterium
Lineage: Bacteria
Description: partial 16S ribosomal RNA
Rfam family: Bacterial small subunit ribosomal RNA
Source: RNAcentral
UACAGAGGGGGCAAGCGUUAUUCGGAAUUAUUGGGCGUAAAGGGCGCGUAGGCGGCUUGGCAAGUGGAAGGUGAAAUCCCUCGGCUUAACCGAGGAACUGCCCUCCAAACUGCUUUGCUUGAGGCCGGGAGAGGCGAGUGGAAUUCCCAGUGUAGAGGUGAAAUUCGUAGAUAUCAGGAGGAACACCGGCGGCGAAGGCGGCUUCCUGGCUCAUUACUGACGUUCAGGUACGAAAGCGUGGGUAGCAAACAGG